Sitophilus oryzae (rice weevil) is the source of this 3044-nucleotide long non-coding RNA. RefSeq lists it as uncharacterized. The record is from RefSeq and is a predicted model, not a curated record. The transcript has 5 exons. Lineage: Eukaryota; Metazoa; Arthropoda; Insecta; Coleoptera; Curculionidae.
UGCGACGACAUUUUCCGUUGUUAGCAGGUCUUUACGUCGCUCUUACAAUUUUACCGAUUUUUUCAUAGAAAAAGUGAUUUUUCUGUGCACUAUUUGAAUUUAUUCUGUUCCUUAUGGCCUGCUUAAUCUUCUGAAAAUGAGUGUUAUUAGUACGCAUGCACCCAUCCUACAAAGACCACCUAAAUGAAGAGACUCGGGUCACCCCGUUGAUAAUGUCUGACUAUCAUUCCAUUUUACGAGAUUGGUUUUACAUUAUACAGUUAAAGCUUUUGUACAAUAAAUCGAUGUAUGUAUACAGUUCCAGAGCCGUACAUUUAUGCUUUUGAUGACUAAUACCAACAAUACAUUAUGGCACUUGUACUUCAAUUCAACCAUCCUAUUCAAGAUGCCCUUAUGUUGAUUAAAUUCAACAUUCAACAGUGGAAUGAGUAUUCAACAGUGGAAAUUCACUAUCGAAAAGGAACUAAAUAAUUUUAGAUUUUCCACAACAAAUCGAUGGAUACAUACAGUUCCAGGGCAGUAUACAUUUAUCCUUUUGAUGAUGUUCCUUCUGUUUAUCAGUGGAUAUCAUCAUUUUUACAUUUAAUUAAGUAAGAAAAAAAAUCCAAUGAGUCUCUGAGUUAUAUUUUAAUGGUUUCUUAUUAUCAUUGGCAAUUUCAUUUUGACUUUGAGAGGCUUUGUUUUUUGGUCACUUCUCUUUCUUUUUGGUAGAAUACCAUCUACUUAGAAUUUUACUUUUUGUUGUACAUGGUUUACUUUUAUUUCUCUAUAAUAGCUUGACUGCCAUGUGUUCUCCAUUGUAGGAAUAAUAACAUCAUUUAUCAAUUCUAUACAAUAUACCAUUGCCUGUAUUUCUAUAGGACUAAUUUGUCUGGUAAUAUAUACCAUCUAUUUAGAAUUUUACUUCAUGUUGCUUAUGGGUUACAUUCAUUUCUCUAUCAUAGCUUGACUUUCAUAUGCUCUUCAUUGUAGACAUAGUAACAUUUGCCAAUUCUAUAAAAUAUUCAAUUGACUGUAUUAUAUAAGUCUUCUUUUAUUUGUAUUAUUUAUUCUAAUGCUAUUUUGCUUGUAUAGUUCCUUGUACAGAGUUAUAGUUUUGAAUUGCUAUAAUUUUAUGGAGUCUGUUUCUGUUAGUUCAAUUUACCCUUGUUUGAAUAUAGUUUGUUUAAACUAUAUUCAAACAAGGGUAAAUUGAACUAACAGAAACAGAUUAUUAUCUGCUAUCGCUUGUUUAAGCGAUAACACACUUAAAAAUAAGGACUAAUUUCUCAUCAAUUCCUAGCGCAUUCGCCAUUUAUUGGUAAGACCUAACGUCCCACAGGAUGUCAUUCUGGCCUUUCUAGCAUUUUUUCCAAUGAAUUUUCCUGAGUAACUUCGACUCCAGAGCAUCAUAACUAGCCUCCCCUAAGAGGAGGAGACUUGGGUCACCCCCUAACCCUGAUGUUCGGCCAUCGAUGACCUAUGUAGCAUGCAUAGGUACCCAAGGGAGUCACCACCCUCUGGUUUACGAGCUAGGUGUUCUAACGCUAGAGGCUUCGGCCGGAUACGACCUGGCACCCAAGCUACGAGACUUCUUCGUGUACGUAUUCCGUGACGUCUGCAAAGCGCAGGGGGCGGGAUAUCGGACACAUUGAAGAUGAUGAGGGGGGUCCGCCUGUAGGGGGUCCCGGUGGAUGUCCGCUCGAUGGGUGACGAGGGUAACCUGAGACGAGGCUGCUUAGCUGGGAUGGGAACUGACUGGCGAGGCUUAAUCGUCGCCCAAGGGUUAAAUCUGAUGAAGGGUGGCGAACUUAUAUGCUCUGGAGGAUUUUUCUUUAUGUGCUUUCUGGAGGAUUUUUCUUUAUGUGCUUGAUGUCAAAUUUUGACCAGUUAUUUCUGACAGGAGGCUCAGCAUAACUUCUUGGCCAAUUUUCCAGUUCUUAUUGACCUGAUUUGUAUUUCUCUAUGUUUUUUAUAUAUAUAUUUUUAUACAUGUUUUUUGUCAUUCUUCUGAGGAUCUUCUAAUAUACAUUCAUGGAUACUAUUACCUGUAUACUAUUACCAUAAUUCCCAUUAUGGGAAUGCUCAGCUGUCAUUGAUCAAUUCUAUAAACUCUUGCCAUUGGUUGAUUCUCUAAAUUUUCUGAUUAUUUCUCUAAAUUUUUUUUAUAUAUAUUUGUAUAAAUGUUUUGUAUCAUUGCUGUGAGACUCUUCUAAGACAUAUUUCAUCAUUUCUAUGAACUAUGGAUUUAUAUUUUUUUAUUUAUUUUCCUGCCAAUUUUUUCAAUAAAAAAAUCUCUGUUUCACUGUUUAUCUCCCAUAUUUUCUUCCAUAUGGUACUGUCAUUCAUCUUCUGUGACUUUUUAUCACACUAAUUUUCGUGCAACUUUUUCCAAUGACUACCUACAUCUAUUUCUUUUAUAUCUCUCAUGUUAUCUUCAUUCUGCAAAAUUUUCUACUAUAUUAUAUAUUUCUGAAUUAUCAGUCAUCAUUUACUUGUAUCAAUAUUUAUAUUGUGUCAUUUUGUGUCGAGCCAUCUCUAAAGCAUUUUAUUUUUAUAAAGUUACUUUUUUCAAUCAUUAUUCCAUACAGAGUAAAACUUAAUUUAAAUUUUCUUAAAUAUAAUUUAUUAUACGUAUUUCUUAUAUAUUGAUUGUAAUCUAAAUCUUCUAAAUGUAUUUUUUCUAUUCCUUAAGACUUCUAAGUUUUUGAUCCCGUUUUUUUUUUGGUGCCCACAUAGAAUUGUUUAGUUUUGGACUCUUAUUCUAAUAGUUGAUUGCUUCUUUUCAUUCUGUUUCUAAUUCCUUCUAAAACUGAGUUUUUGAACUCAGUUUUAGAAGGGAUAUUGUACCGCUUUGGAACAAAGAUUUUUUGAGACAGCUGCACUUCAAUUCAACCACCCUCUUCAAGAUGCCGUUACGUUGAUUAAUGCAACAUUCAACAGAGGAAUGAGGAUGAAAUUUAUCACGAAUAACUUUAGAAUCAAGUAGGUUAACCAGAAGAUUUGUUUACCUUAACUUAGCAUGUCCAUCAACAAUUGGAUUUUUAUAUACUUUUUAUAUUACU